UGCAAGCAGUUGUGAUUAUGCAUAUUGCAGUUUGUACAUUUGCUUUGAGUAUAUCAUGCAACCCUAAUUAUUAGCUUGUUUAAAUCUUUAUCUCCCUCUUAUUCUAGUGAGGUCUAGACCUCAUCUGUUCCUGUAGAUCUGUGUCGCCGCUGUGCGACAUCAAACCAGCCAAAUGGCCGAGAAGAACACCAGAAUCGCUAUCGUGAACCAUGACAAGUGCAAGCCCAAGAAAUGUCUUCAAGGGUGCAAGAAGAGCUGUCCGGUGGUGCGCAUGGGUAAGAUGUGUAUCGAGGUCACACCUCAGAGUAAAAUCGUCUGGAACUCAGAGUCUCUCUGCAUUGGUUGUGGAAUCUGUAUCAAGAAAUGUCCAUUGGUGC
Sinocyclocheilus grahami is the source of this 377-nucleotide long non-coding RNA. RefSeq lists it as uncharacterized. The record is from RefSeq and is a predicted model, not a curated record. The transcript has 4 exons. NCBI's taxonomy places the organism in Eukaryota, Metazoa, Chordata, Actinopteri, Cypriniformes, Cyprinidae.